This 329-nucleotide unclassified non-coding RNA is filed under the name uncultured Hysterangiales. RNAcentral describes it as "sequence contains 5.8S rRNA gene, ITS2, 28S rRNA gene". The stretch from base 1 to 52 matches the Rfam family "5.8S ribosomal RNA", at positions 103 to 154 of the family's 154-position model. The record is from RNAcentral. Lineage: Eukaryota; Fungi; Basidiomycota; Agaricomycetes.
AACGCACCUUGCGCUCCUUGGUAUUCCGAGGAGCAUGCCUGUUUGAGUGUCCUGAACGUCUCUCGAACCUCAAGGGGGGGGUUUCCCCCCUCCUCUCCGGGAUCGGAUUUGGAUGUUGCCGUCUCUCUCUUCGAGAUGGCUCAUCUUGAAAUGCAUUAGCCGCCUCCCUCCCCUUUUUGGUUUCACAGACAACGGUGUGAUAAAGUGAAAAAAGUCGCCUGUGUCGGUGGGAACGGAAUCGGGUGCGGGGUUUUGAAGGCUCACAGUCGUCUUUGGACAGAUACAACUCAUGUGACCUCAAAUCAGGUAGGACUACCCGCUGAACUUAA